CCAUUUAACAUUAUGUUCCUCAGCAAUGGCACUCAGAAUUUUCAUUUUGGUGGGACCAUCAGGUGCUUUGGCUGACAGUUUUUCCACCAACUAGGAGAUGACAACAAAAAAUCAUUACUGACAACAUUAAAUUAUAGUCGCACUAAUUAACUGCUACUGCACAAACUUACCAGGCGACUAACACCACAGUCUGAACGUAGUUCAACUGCUGCAGAGACGAAUUCUUUCCCAUAUUUUGAAGUAAAAUGCUUACGGACAUCCAUCAAUUCAGGUAUA
Molecule: unclassified non-coding RNA, 276 nt
Filed under: Hevea brasiliensis (rubber tree)
Lineage: Eukaryota; Viridiplantae; Streptophyta; Magnoliopsida; Malpighiales; Euphorbiaceae
Source: RNAcentral